GCAAAGCUUCUGACCUUCGACUUGAGUGCAGCACAAACUCGCCAAGGCCUCGCUAGAGCCGAGGAAACAGAAAGCUGAAGGCAGGGGAGGAAAGAGCUCAACGCAGCACAAAGAAGUCUAACAAUCACAGCAACUUGACAACAACUCAUGUCAGACCGCACAUGAAAAGCAGGAGCUGCAGGGAUGGUGGGUUGCAGAGUGGCUUGCAGAGGUACAGCAUGGCAUGCAACAGCAGCUUAACCCUCACAUACUUUUCAGGCUAAACUCGACCUGCGUUAACAUUUGGCAGUUUAAAUGUCGGGUUUUUUGCCUGUAAUUUGAUUCCUAAAGUGACAUAAAAGACAAGAGUAUGAAACUCUUACUUUUUUUUUUUUUUUAAAUAAAAAAAAACAAAAAAAACAAUAUAUAUUGUUUUGGGGAAUCUUGGAACUGAAACUAUAUCUCAAGCAUUAACAUUUUAAGUGAAUAUGUGGUGACUGUGUUCAAGCGACACCUUGAAACCGUCAUGAGAACAUGUAUUUGUCAAGGCACUCAUAAGUCAUGUGAUGGCCAAAAC
This is a long non-coding RNA of Astatotilapia calliptera (eastern happy), 556 nucleotides long. Lineage: Eukaryota; Metazoa; Chordata; Actinopteri; Cichliformes; Cichlidae. The record is from Ensembl.